Molecule: ribosomal RNA, 389 nt
Filed under: Rickettsia conorii subsp. raoultii
Lineage: Bacteria; Pseudomonadati; Pseudomonadota; Alphaproteobacteria; Rickettsiales; Rickettsiaceae
Description: bacterial SSU rRNA
Rfam family: Bacterial small subunit ribosomal RNA
Source: RNAcentral
AGCUAACGCAUUAAGCACUCCGCCUGGGGAGUACGGUCGCAAGAUUAAAACUCAAAGGAAUUGACGGGGGCUCGCACAAGCGGUGGAGCAUGCGGUUUAAUUCGAUGUUACGCGAAAAACCUUACCAACCCUUGACAUGGUGGUCGCGGAUCGCAGAGAUGCUUUUCUUCAGCUCGGCUGGACCACACACAGGUGUUGCAUGGCUGUCGUCAGCUCGUGUCGUGAGAUGUUGGGUUAAGUCCCGCAACGAGCGCAACCCUCAUUCUUAUUUGCCAGCGGGUAAUGCCGGGAACUAUAAGAAAACUGCCGGUGAUAAGCCGGAGGAAGGUGGGGACGACGUCAAGUCAUCAUGGCCCUUACGGGUUGGGCUACACGCGUGCUACAAUGGU